UACAGAGGUCCCGAGCGUUGUUCGGAUUCAUUGGGCGUAAAGGGUGCGUAGGUGGCGCCGUAAGUGGGGUGUGAAAUCCCGGGGCUUAACCCCGGGACUGCAUUCCAUACUGCGGUGCUUGAGGACUGGAGAGGAGACUGGAAUUCAUGGUGUAGCAGUGAAAUGCGUAGAGAUCAUGAGGAAGACCAGUGGCGAAGGCGGGUCUCUGGACAGUUCCUGACACUGAGACACGAAGGCCAGGGGAGCAAACGGG
RNAcentral lists this ribosomal RNA (253 nucleotides) under uncultured bacterium. RNAcentral describes it as "partial 16S ribosomal RNA". It matches the Rfam family "Bacterial small subunit ribosomal RNA", at positions 524 to 776 of the family's 1533-position model. The record is from RNAcentral.